RNAcentral lists this ribosomal RNA (255 nucleotides) under uncultured bacterium. Its description in RNAcentral is "partial 16S ribosomal RNA". It matches the Rfam family "Bacterial small subunit ribosomal RNA", at positions 524 to 777 of the family's 1533-position model. The record is from RNAcentral.
UACGUAGGGUGCAAGCGUUGUCCGGAAUUAUUGGGCGUAAAGAGCUCGGUAGGCGGUGUGUCGCGUCUGCUGUGAAAACUCAGGGCUCAACUCUGAGCUUGCAGUGGGUACGGGCACACUAGAGUGCUGUAGGGGAGACUGGAAUUCUCGGUGUAGCGGUGAAAUGCGUAGAUAUCGAGAGGAACACCUGCGGCGAAGGCGGGUUGCUGGGCUGACACUGACGCUGAAACGCGAAAGCUAGGGGAGCGAACGGGG